Molecule: ribosomal RNA, 377 nt
Filed under: uncultured bacterium
Lineage: Bacteria
Description: bacterial SSU rRNA
Rfam family: Bacterial small subunit ribosomal RNA
Source: RNAcentral
UAAGACAGAGGGUGCAAACGUUGCUCGGAAUUACUGGGCGUAAAGGGCGUGUAGGCGGGAAGGCAAGUCGGGCGUGAAAUCCCCAGGCUCAACCUGGGAACUGCACUCGAAACUGCCUUUCUUGAGUACCGGAGAGGAAAGCGGAAUACCUGGUGUAGAGGUGAAAUUCGUAGAUAUCAGGUGGAACACCAGUGGCGAAGGCGGCUUUCUGGACGGUAACUGACGCUGAGACGCGAAAGCGUGGGGAGCAAACAGGAUUAGAUACCCUGGUAGUCCACGCUGUAAACGAUGAGUGCUAGGUGUCGUGGGUAUUGACCCCCGCGGUGCCGUAGCUAACGCAUUAAGCACUCCGCCUGGGAAGUACGGUCGCAAGACUA